GUUACUUGCAGCAACGUGACGUCAAACAAAGAGCAGCCACAGCGCAGCAAGCUCUGGGAUGGGAUUUCUCUAGGUGCUGCGUGUGACGUCAAGCAAAGAGCAGCCAGGAGCAGCAAGCGCAGCCGCGUCUUGGAUAGAAGAACACGACCAUAGCUGCAGAAGCCUUCUAUAUCUAUGAUAUCUCCCGAAAGGAAUGCAUGACGAGGGGGUGGUGGUCUUGUUGAUUGACGUUAUUCUUGAUCAAUCAGAAUCAUUAUACGCAGUCUUUGGUGCAUUGUACAAUGAGAAAACAGAGCAUGCUUUAACUGACUAGACGACUGACCAAUAACUUAACAGUAAACAUUCCCUAGCGGCGCAGUGCCAGUCCUGAAGUGAGGCGCUUUAUCUUCAAAGAAACUCGGAAAGAAGAAAUACAUAAUACGUGUGCAGUGGUAUUAUUAUGCAGAUACAUCUUUUAUGAAAACGAUAUUUUGAAUCUGGAUAAUAUGAAACUUUUUUUGAUAGAUUCUUUCAGAGCUUGCGAGAGCUGCCUGUAUUAACUUAAACAAAGCGGAAACUGGGAAAUCGAUGGCCCUUGUAACUAGUGAAACUGGUGCGCAGUGCUGCCGGAUAUUAUCAUAGAGGAUCGGAUCCGAAGAUCGCGAGUUUAUUGCUAGUGCAAAGUUAUUUAUUUAUUUGUGUACUAUUAUUGUUAAAUUAUAUAUAUAUAUAUAUAUAUAUAUAUAUAUAUAUAUAUAUAUAUAUAUAUAUAUAUAUAUAUAUAUAAGGCACCUCUUGUUAAUGUUGAGAACCAAAAUGGCGGCUUGGUGGCUCACUCCCCCAGUGAUACUAGUAUUUGCGUCGGUCCUUUCUGCUCCGGGGCUCGCCUCCUCCUGCCCGCAUCCCUGCUCCUGUAGCGCCGGGGAGAAUGGCUUUAUGAUGCUGGAUUGUAGUAGGAGAAAACUGACAGAGGCGCCCUCUGACCCACCAGGCUGGAUAACAUACUUGAGCUUGAACUACAAUGAGUUGACGGCAGUCCCCUUCUUUGGACAAUCAACUUGGAACAUAACAGUUUUGUCAUUAGUUCAUAACAGAAUUGCAGAGAUCAUCACAGAUCACCUUCAGCCUUAUGUUUCUGUGGAUUCUUUGGACCUCAGCUCAAACCUGAUUUCACAAGUACAAGCAGCCUCAUUUCCACCAAUGCAGCUAAAAUAUUUAAAUUUGAGUAACAACAGAAUUACCACUUUGGAACCCGGAUGCUUUGAUAAUAUUUCUAGCUCCUUGGUGGUCCUGAAACUGAACAGAAACAGAAUCACCUUUCUCCCGCUGAAGAUCUUUAAACUUCCUCACUUACAAUACUUGGAAUUAAAACGUAACAAAAUUAAGAUGAUCGAAAGUCUUACAUUCCAAGGGCUGGAUUCCUUGAAAUCGCUGAAGAUGCAGCGUAAUGGACUCAGCCAGCUUAUGGAUGGAGCCUUUUUCGGACUUAAUAAUAUGGAGGAGCUGGAGCUGGAACACAAUAACCUGACGGAAGUGAACAAAGGCUGGCUAUAUGGGUUACGAAUGCUGCAUUUGCUCCAGGUUAGCCACAAUGCUAUUCGCAGGAUCAGCCCUGAUGCUUGGGAGUUCUGCGAGAAACUGUCUGAAUUAAAUGUAUCUUUUAAUCAUUUGACUCGCUUGGAUGCGACUGCUUUUACUGGUCUUGGUUUGCUUGAGAAUUUGAACUUGGGGAACAAUGCUGUGAACCACAUUGCGGAGGGUGUAUUCAGUGGGCUGCCCAACCUGCACCAUCUAGAUAUAAGAAAUAAUGACAUUUCUUGGGCUAUUGAAGAUUCGGUUGGAGUGUUUGUUGGGCUGGGCAAGUUGAACACACUAAUACUGCAAGGAAACGGGAUUAAAUCCGUGACGAAUAAAGCAUUCUCCGGUCUUGAAGCGCUAGAACAUCUGGACUUGACUAGAAAUGGAAUCAUGUCUAUUCACCCAAAUGCCUUUUCACAGAUGAACCUAAAAGAACUUCUGUUGAACACCAGUAGUUUGCUGUGUGACUGCAAUCUUAAAUGGCUGCCUCAGUGGCUGAUUGAGAACAAAUUCCAGCGUUCUGUGAAUGGCAGCUGCACCCACCCUGCAUGGCGAGCAGGACAGAGCAUUCUCAGUGUCGUCGUGGAGGAUCUGGUCUGCGAUGAUUUUCCUAAGCCCCAGAUCACUGCACAUCCUGAAACUACAGUGGCUCUCAAGGGAAUGAAUAUUACAUUAACUUGCAUUGCAGCAAGCAGCAGUGAUUCACCGAUGUCGGCAGCUUGGAGGAAAGACAGUGAAGUUUUGUAUGAUGCAGUGGUCCAAAACUUUGCCAGAUACAGGGAACAAGUGGGAGCACUCAUUGAGUACACCACUGUAUUGCAUCUUUUUAAUGUUAAUUUUACCGAUGAAGGUCGGUACCAGUGUGUUGUCACGAAUCACUUUGGAUCCAAUUAUUCGGAAAGAGCAAAACUUACUGUGAAUGAGCUGCCCUCCUUCGUGAAAACGCCGAUGGACCUCACCAUUCGGACUGGGGCUAUGGCUCGCCUGGAGUGUGCAGCAGAGGGGCACCCCGCUCCUCAGAUCGCCUGGCAGAAAGACGGCGGCACAGACUUCCCAGCUGCACGGGAGCGACGCAUGCAUGUCAUGCCAGAAGAUGAUGUUUUCUUCAUCGCAAAUGCCAAGAUUGAAGACAUGGGCGUCUACAGCUGCACAGCACAGAAUACAGCGGGAAGCAUGCAUGCUAAUGCAACACUAACAGUGUUAGAAACUCCCUCUUUUGUCAGACCCUUGGAGGAUCGAGUGGUAGCCAGAGGGGAGACGGCAGUGUUGCAGUGUAUAGCUGGCGGCAGCCCCCCUCCUCGACUGAACUGGACGAAAGACGACGGCCCCUUGGUGGUUACGGAACGCCACUUCUUUGCUGCAGCCAACCAGCUGCUGAUCAUUGUAGACACUGGUCCAGGGGAUGCUGGGAAAUACACUUGCAUCAUGUCAAAUACGUUGGGUACAGAGCGGGGCCACAUCUUCUUAAACAUUGUUCCUUCUCCAAACUGUGAUCCUGCUCAGGGCAGCAGUGGUUAUGAAGAGGAUGGCUGGACAACUGUGGGAAUCGUCAUCAUCGUGGUUGUGUGCUGCGUAGUGGGCACCUCUCUUGUCUGGGUUAUUGUCAUUUAUCACAUGAGAAGGAAAAGUGAAGAUUAUAGCAUUAGUAACACAGAUGUCAUGAAUUUGCCAGGUGACAUUCCCAGUUAUCUGUCCUCUCAAGGAACACUAUCGGAGCCUCAGGAAGUCUAUAGUAACUCUGAAGCCGGGAGUCACCAGCAGCUAAUGCCUCCUUCAUCUAAUGGCUAUGUCCACAAAGGAAGAGAUGGUAUUUGUUAUGUGGACUCUGGGAGUGAAGUGGAUACGGAUGUCAACCCUUUUCUGGCCUCCAGCUUGCAGAACAGGAUGGGCUGCUUAUUCAGUGGGAGGACUGGCUUCCAGCCAGGGGAGCCACAAGAAGGAUAUGUACAGGCCAGCUCGGGUACUGGGCCGCUGGUCAUUUGUUCCGAUUGCUAUGACAAUGCCAACAUCUAUUCAAGGACCCGGGAGUACUGUCCAUAUGCCUGCCUUAGUGAAGAGGACUCCUUACCUGCCCAUGCGCAGCAAGAGGACACAGCCCUAGAUGGUUUAAUCACAGACAAGGACAUGUCUGUAUUUCUGACCAACCAUGACAGGAUACAUCUAAAAGCUUCUGCUCAGACAUGCAGCAAUGAAAGCCAUUCCCGACCGUUGUGGGUGUUAAAUCAAGACACAGGACUUGUUUCACAUUCCAGCUUCUCCCAGCAGCCUGUGAAUGUACCUGCAAACCCAUGUGCACGUGUUGAUAGAGAAGAUGAGAAGGAGGGUGGCCUUGAGUGCUCAGCACCCUCAAAACCAUUCCAGGGUGCAGCACAGGAGCACAUGUGUGAUUCCAACAGGACUCCUCAAAACAUACAGGAACCGAACGCUCCCAAAUAGAGCAGAAGAAGCCUCAUCUGAGGAAGCCACUACCUCUCAAUGACUACACUAAAUGCCAAAAAUGCAUAUGUGCAAGUUUACAUUUCAAGAAACAAUCCUAUUUCUUGUGCGAUAAAGCAUUUUAACAUAGAAAAGUCAAUACUUCACACUUUACCUGUGCCCUGUGAAUAUCCAGUUAUUAUUUAAGCUCGGCUCACCGCUACCACCCCUGCGCUGACUCGGGAGCGUGUGCCGUCAGCCGACCGCUUCUUUUCACAUGGCAGACUCAUCAUGCAGCCACCUCAGAGCUACAGCGCCGGAGAACAACGCACCUCCGGGCAGCUUACAGGCAAACCUACAGGCGCCCGGCCAGACUACAGGGGUUGCUGGUGUGCAGUGAGCCGAGGACAUCCUGGCUGACAUAAACCUUCCCCUCCCCCCCCCCAACAAAAAACUUGGUUUUUGUCUUUUUGUUGUCUUAAAAUAAGUAACUAAAUAACUGUUUUGCCUUAAAUUGUAGUCCGGUGAACAGUAUUCUGAUUUUAUGAUGCUUCCUUUUUAUACAGCAUGUUUCCCAAAACGUAUCGUCAUCAUGUAUGAGCUGUGGGAAUGAAAGCCCAUUGUGCAGUUUGGUAAAAGCUGGCCGUGUAUGGCAAUGGAUUAAGAAUUGCAAUCAUAAGGGCUCCCGAGUGGCGCAUCCAGUAAAGGCGAUCCUCGCAGGAUGUGCCCUAUAGCCUGGAGAUCGCUGGUUCGAAUCAAGGCUAUGUCACAGCUGACCGUGACCGAGAGUUCCUAGGGGGCGGCGCACAAUUGGCUGAGCGCUGCCCGGGUAGGGAGGGCUUAGGUCGGCAGGGGAAUCCACGGCUCACUGCGCAUCAGCGACCCCUGUGGCCGAUAGGGCGCCUGUGGCUCUGCAGCGGAGCCGCCAGAUCUGUGUUGUCCUCCGGCACUAUAGGUCUGGUAGCAUUGCUGUGGAUCUGCAGUGCGAAAAAUGACGGCUUGGAAGGAGCACGUUUCGGAGGACGCGUGUUUCAGCCUCCGUUUCCCGAGUCGGCGGGGGGGUUGCGAGCGGUGAGCCGGGGAUACAGAUAAUAAUUGGGCAUGCUAAAUUGGGGUGAAAACCGGGGUAAAAAUAAUUGGCGAUGACUAAAUUUAAAAAAAAAAAAAAAAAAGAAUUGCAAUCAUACCUGUCUUCAUGGUUGAUGUCAUACAGUAAUAUGUUGAACAGGUCUGUUGAUGCACACGAUGGUCUAGUUUUGAGUGUGUAUUGCUCCAUUGCAAAAUGUUGUAUAAUAUAAUAUAUAUAUAUUAUCCUUUUUAUACUGCUAUGUUUGUACUGAUUGCAUAAAUACCAAAGUCUCGGCAUUUAUGCUCUAUGCUGGAAAUACUGAUAAAAUGCUGUCUUGCUGUAUCGUGUAACGGUUCCCUUUGUAAUAUGUAUUUAAAAUUGUUGGCUAAAUGUACAUUCUGUAAAGCAUGUGUAAAAUAUGUUUGUUUCUUGUAAUAUAUAGUGACCUUGAAACAAUAAACUAAAAUCUCUUUUUCUGAA
Acipenser ruthenus (sterlet) is the source of this 5521-nucleotide RNA transcript. It is a transcript of the gene named leucine-rich repeats and immunoglobulin-like domains protein 2, with no coding region annotated. The transcript is spliced from 19 exons. Lineage: Eukaryota; Metazoa; Chordata; Actinopteri; Acipenseriformes; Acipenseridae. The record is from RefSeq and is a predicted model, not a curated record.